AUUGAACGCUGGCGGCAGGCCUAACACAUGCAAGUCGAGCGGAUGAGUGGAGCUUGCUCCAUGAUUCAGCGGCGGACGGGUGAGUAAUGCCUAGGAAUCUGCCUGGUAGUGGGGGACAACGUUUCGAAAGGAACGCUAAUACCGCAUACGUCCUACGGGAGAAAGCAGGGGACCUUCGGGCCUUGCGCUAUCAGAUGAGCCUAGGUCGGAUUAGCUAGUAGGUGAGGUAAUGGCUCACCUAGGCGACGAUCCGUAACUGGUCUGAGAGGAUGAUCAGUCACACUGGAACUGAGACACGGUCCAGACUCCUACGGGAGGCAGCAGUGGGGAAUAUUGGACAAUGGGCGAAAGCCUGAUCCAGCCAUGCCGCGUGUGUGAAGAAGGUCUUCGGAUUGUAAAGCACUUUAAGUUGGGUAGGAAGGGCAGUAAGUUAAUACCUUGCUGUUUUGACGUUUACCAACAGAAUAAGCACCGGCUAACUUCGUG
Molecule: ribosomal RNA, 486 nt
Filed under: uncultured bacterium
Lineage: Bacteria
Description: bacterial SSU rRNA
Rfam family: Bacterial small subunit ribosomal RNA
Source: RNAcentral